GACGAACGCUGGCGGCAUGCCUAAUACAUGCAAGUCGAACGCUGAAGCACUCUGCUUGCAGAGUGCGGAUGAGUAGCGAACGGGUGAGUAACACGUGGGAAAUCUGCCUAUAAGAGGGGGAUAACAUUCGGAAACGGAUGCUAAUACCGCAUAUAUUCUUGGACCGCCUGGUCCUUGAAAGAAAGACGGCUUUGCUGUCGCUUAUAGAUGAUCCCGCGGCGUAUUAGUUAGUUGGUGGGGUAAAGGCCUACCAAGACAAUGAUACGUAGCCGACCUGAGAGGGUGAUCGGCCACACUGGGACUGAGACACGGCCCAGACUCCUACGGGAGGCAGCAGUAGGGAAUCUUCCACAAUGGGCGAAAGCCUGAUGGAGCAAUGCCGCGUGAAUGAAGAAGGUCUUCGGAUCGUAAAGUUCUGUUAUUAGAGAAGAACAAGUCAAGGAGUAACUGUCUUGACUUUGACGGUACCUAACCAGAAAGUCACGGCUAACUACGUG
RNAcentral lists this ribosomal RNA (497 nucleotides) under uncultured bacterium. Its description in RNAcentral is "partial 16S ribosomal RNA". It matches the Rfam family "Bacterial small subunit ribosomal RNA", at positions 28 to 507 of the family's 1533-position model. The record is from RNAcentral.